Molecule: long non-coding RNA, 1400 nt
Organism: Musca domestica (house fly)
Lineage: Eukaryota; Metazoa; Arthropoda; Insecta; Diptera; Muscidae
Exons: 3
Source: RefSeq, a predicted model, not a curated record
UCCGCUGGCCAUUACAAUUUAAUACCCAUCCAAAUGUAUGCUAUAUUGUCAAUAGGAAAAAAUGAAAUAACAGUGGUUAAUAGCAUACAACUAGCAUCCGAUUUGGAUGAGUCGCAUUGCUAUUACAUUGUGGAACAAAAUCCAUGUUAGAAUUAAAGAACAAAACAAAAUACAAUAAAAACUGUCCAUCGCACUUGCAUCUGAAUCGGAUGCCUUUGUAUUGUUUUGUAACUUUUUUGUUUAUUGUUGCAGCUGCUGUUGUACCGUUAUUCAUUUUUGAUGCUUCUUUCUUUUUUGAAGCAAAAUUUUAUUCUGUGAAGUGUUUUUGAAAGUGCAAGUUGUGAAUUUUGAACAAAAGUUAAUAAAAUAAAUUAAUAAAAUAAGAAUGUAGUAAGUGUUGUGUGUUAAAUAAGUUACAUAAAAUGUCAGGAUUCAGUAGGAGUAAUUUAAGACGACUAAAGAAAGUGGAAGCAGACAAUUUAACAAGAAAUCCACAGUUGAGGACGGACUGUUUGGAAAACAAUGAUAUUCUACAAAAUGAGCAGAUUCCAUGCAUUCCAAAAUUGUAGAAGAUUUUGGAAAAUAUGUAAGAAUAUUAAAAACUCUCCGUUAGAAUCCAUUAAUAAUUUAAAUUCUUUCAGCUAUGAUGGUACCCAAAAUAAAAAGGCGUUUAAGGAAUAUAAAUUUUAAUCAUGGCCAUUUUCGAAGCUGUCAUAUGUGAAGGAUCCAAUGAACAGGAUUAGAAAUUGUUUCAAAUUCCCUAAGGCCAGACACUUCCGAACAAUGUCCUACAAUAAAAAACUGGAAAAAUAUAUUUUUUUCCUUUAGUUUAAGCUUUAUUUCUUCCCACGUCUUUUGAAUAAGCUUUAUGAAUUUCGUUUUUAUGCAUUAUUUCUAAUUAUAAUAAGAAUAUUUUAACACGUUUAUAAUACGAAUAUUUUAAUAAAAGACAGCUGAAAUUUAAGUUCCACAAUCUAAAAUGUUGAUGGAAUCGGACCCAUCCAACCUUCGCUUACAAUGUUGAUAGAUUUCGGACCCAUCCAACAUUCGCUUACGUUGUCGGUCGAUUUCGGACCCAUCCAACAUUCGCUUACAUUGUCGGUAGAUUUCGGACUCGUCUGACGGCCUAGGCCAUCUCUGUGUAAAUGUAAGUAGAAAUUGUAUACAGGCUUUGGAUGGGUCGCACCUACAUUGUCAUUGGUCUCAGAUGGAAGAUGUAUGUGCUAAAAAAUCCGCUGGGAAGAAGCUUGAUUUUUUUGGUAAUUUCUCAUAUCUCUUUUAUUGUAGUGACGAGAAAAAUGCUCUUUUUAAUUCCAACCCAUAUGCCAAUGUAGAUUAAAUCUUAAUUUCGACUUUAUAAACUAAUAAAAAUGGAAAACCACUUUAAAUGCCAAAAAUAA